UUGACCUCGGAUCAGGUAGGGAUACCCGCUGAACUUAAGCAUAUCAAUAAGCGGAGGAAAAGAAACCAACAGGGAUUGCCCUAGUAACGGCGAGUGAAGCGGCAACAGCUCAAAUUUGAAAUCUGGCUCUUUCAGAGUCCGAGUUGUAAUUUGCAGAGGGCGCUUUGGCUUUGGCAGCGGUCCAAGUUCCUUGGAACAGGACGUCACAGAGGGUGAGAAUCCCGUACGUGGUCGCUAGCUAUUGCCGUGUAAAGCCCCUUCGACGAGUCGAGUUGUUUGGGAAUGCAGCUCUAAAUGGGAGGUAAAUUUCUUCUAAAGCUAAAUAUUGGCCAGAGACCGAUAGCGCACAAGUAGAGUGAUCGAAAGAUGAAAAGCACUUUGGAAAGAGAGUCAAACAGCACGUGAAAUUGUUGAAAGGGAAGCGCUUGCAGCCAGACUUGCUUGCAGUUGCUCAUCCGGGCUUUUGCCCGGUGCACUCUUCUGUAGGCAGGCCAGCAUCAGUUUGGGCGGUGGGAUAAAGGUCUCUGUCACGUACCUCUCUUCGGGGAGGCCUUAUAGGGGAGACGACAUACCACCAGCCU
Molecule: ribosomal RNA, 581 nt
Filed under: Bipolaris zeicola
Lineage: Eukaryota; Fungi; Ascomycota; Dothideomycetes; Pleosporales; Pleosporaceae
Also listed under: 1 other name
Description: eukaryotic LSU rRNA
Rfam family: Eukaryotic large subunit ribosomal RNA
Source: RNAcentral